This 1275-nucleotide ribosomal RNA is filed under the name Psychrobacter sp. A1.4. RNAcentral describes it as "bacterial SSU rRNA". It matches the Rfam family "Bacterial small subunit ribosomal RNA", at positions 69 to 1319 of the family's 1533-position model. The record is from RNAcentral. Lineage: Bacteria; Pseudomonadati; Pseudomonadota; Gammaproteobacteria; Moraxellales; Moraxellaceae.
GGGGAUUCAGCUGCUAGAGAUGACGAGCGGCGGACGGGUGAGUAAUACUUAGGAAUCUACCUAGUAGUGGGGGAUAGCUCGGGGAAACUCGAAUUAAUACCGCAUACGACCUACGGGAGAAAGGGGGCAACUUGUUGCUCUCGCUAUUAGAUGAGCCUAAGUCGGAUUAGCUAGAUGGUGGGGUAAAGGCCUACCAUGGCGACGAUCUGUAGCUGGUCUGAGAGGAUGAUCAGCCACACCGGGACUGAGACACGGCCCGGACUCCUACGGGAGGCAGCAGUGGGGAAUAUUGGACAAUGGGGGAAACCCUGAUCCAGCCAUGCCGCGUGUGUGAAGAAGGCCUUUUGGUUGUAAAGCACUUUAAGCAGUGAAGAAGACUCUUCGGUUAAUACCCGGAGACGAUGACAUUAGCUGCAGAAUAAGCACCGGCUAACUCUGUGCCAGCAGCCGCGGUAAUACAGAGGGUGCAAGCGUUAAUCGGAAUUACUGGGCGUAAAGCGAGCGUAGGUGGCUUGAUAAGUCAGAUGUGAAAUCCCCGGGCUUAACCUGGGAACUGCAUCUGAUACUGUCAGGCUAGAGUAGGUGAGAGGAAGGUAGAAUUCCAGGUGUAGCGGUGAAAUGCGUAGAGAUCUGGAGGAAUACCGAUGGCGAAGGCAGCCUUCUGGCAUCAUACUGACACUGAGGCUCGAAAGCGUGGGUAGCAAACAGGAUUAGAUACCCUGGUAGUCCACGCCGUAAACGAUGUCUACUAGUCGUUGGGUCCCUUGAGGACUUAGUGACGCAGCUAACGCAAUAAGUAGACCGCCUGGGGAGUACGGCCGCAAGGUUAAAACUCAAAUGAAUUGACGGGGGCCCGCACAAGCGGUGGAGCAUGUGGUUUAAUUCGAUGCAACGCGAAGAACCUUACCUGGUCUUGACAUAUCUAGAAUCCUGCAGAGAUGCGGGAGUGCCUUCGGGAAUUAGAAUACAGGUGCUGCAUGGCUGUCGUCAGCUCGUGUCCUGAGAUGUUGGGUUAAGUCCCGCAACGAGCGCAACCCUUGUCCUUAGUUACCAGCGGGUUAAGCCCGGGAACUCUAAAGGAUACUGGCCAGUGAACAAACUGGAAGAAAGGCGGGGGACCAACUUCCAAGUCAUCAUGGGCCCUUUACGACCAGGGGCUACACACCUUGCUCCAAUGGGUAGGUACAAGAGGGGCACUUCACACCGCGGAUUGGUAUCGGAAUCUUCAAAAAGCCCUAUCGGGAAUCCCCAAAUUGGGAGGUUGGGCAACCUCCC